Long non-coding RNA from Gorilla gorilla gorilla (western lowland gorilla), 629 nucleotides. RefSeq lists it as uncharacterized. Lineage: Eukaryota; Metazoa; Chordata; Mammalia; Primates; Hominidae. The transcript is spliced from 3 exons. The record is from RefSeq and is a predicted model, not a curated record.
GCCCCUGCACGCCCGCACUUCUGCCCCGUCCCGCCCAUCGUUGCGCGGCCGCGGGCCAAUCAGAUCGUGCCUUGCCUCUACGCCCCCGGCUCCCCCGAACUUCUGUCCUCCUUUCAGGGCGACUUUGGGAACACAAUAGUCGACUCGCCGACGUUCCCUUAGACGCGUUGCCAUACGUCGUCACCCAUAGAAACGGCUUUCCGCGGGGCAGACUCCAAGUCUCGCCUGUGUGAGCGGGCGGGGGUAGCAGGAAAGGCUGUUUUUCAUUUCCAAGAGAAAACCGUCACCCCGCCCAACUCGAACCUCCUCCCAACAUCUCAGGAUAGAAACGCCGCGCUAAGAAAGAUACAAGUCUUCUCAUUGGAAAUGUUAACCAAGAUGAAUGAAAUGGAAACCAACACCUGGACAUGUCAUGGUGAAAUGUUAGAACACUGGGCACGAAGAGACUGGAUCUUGCUCUGUCGUCCAGGCUGGAGUACAGUGGUGUAAUCAAAGCUCGUAGAAGCCUGGAACUCUUGGGCUCAAGUGAUCCUCCUGCCUCAACCUCCCAAGCAGCUGAGACUACAGGCGCAUCUGCACCUGCACUCGAUUAAUUUUGUUAAAUUAUUUUUUAUAAAGAUAGAGCCUCU